CCUACGGGUGGCAGCAGUGAGGAAUAUUGGUCAAUGGCCGAGAGGCUGAACCAGCCAAGUCGCGUGAGGGAAGACGGCCCUACGGGUUGUAAACCUCUUUUGUCGGGGAGCAAUGGCGUCCACGUGUGGGCGUAUGGAGAGUACCUGAAGAAAAAGCAUCGGCUAACUCCGUGCCAGCAGCCGCGGUAAUACGGAGGAUGCGAGCGUUAUCCGGAUUUAUUGGGUUUAAAGGGUGCGUAGGCGGGACCUUAAGUCAGCGGUAAAAUUGCGGUGCUCAACGCCGUAGAGCCGUUGAAACUGGGGUUCUUGAGUGAGCGAGAAGUAUGCGGAAUGCGUGGUGUAGCGGUGAAAUGCAUAGAUAUCACGCAGAACCCCGAUUGCGAAGGCAGCAUACCGGCGCUCAACUGACGCUGAGGCACGAAAGUGCGGGUAUCGAACAGGAUUAGAUACCCCAGUAGUC
Molecule: ribosomal RNA, 460 nt
Filed under: uncultured bacterium
Lineage: Bacteria
Description: partial 16S ribosomal RNA
Rfam family: Bacterial small subunit ribosomal RNA
Source: RNAcentral